CCUGAGCUGCAGGAGGAGAGCCUGCAGGCCUCCUGGGUGAAACUGCACCUUCACGAUAAUGGGAAUGGGAGCAGUGUUUCAGCCUCAGCUUCUAUUUAAAAUGGUGACAUGAAAAAAGUACUGCUGGAUUUCCAGCAUGAGUCCGGAUAGAGAUAGGUCUAAGUUCUCCCUGUGACAGCCCACCUCAUUCACAGAUAUCAUGGGAUACUAAUAGGGCUUCUGAAACAGAAACCCAAAGAAUUCACGCAAAAAACAGCUCUCCAUCUGAGCAAGAUUAUAUCAAGAGAAAAUAAAAAGUUAAAAGCAUCUUUAAAAACAAAACUCAGAUUAGAUAUAAUAUUGAUCAAGUCCACCAGAAAAUAUUCCUCUAAAAAAAUAUUUCUCUUUAAAUACCCAAAGUGCACAACUAUUCUCAGCGUGAGAAACAUGAGCGUUAUAAAGAAACGGGACAGGCCAGUUGCGGUGGCUCAUACCUGUAAUCCCAGCACUU
RNAcentral lists this long non-coding RNA (490 nucleotides) under Homo sapiens (human). RNAcentral describes it as "non-protein coding lnc-ZNF99-6:1". The record is from RNAcentral. Lineage: Eukaryota; Metazoa; Chordata; Mammalia; Primates; Hominidae.